GAUGAACGCUGGCGGCGUGCCUAAUACAUGCCAGUCGAGCGAACAGACGAGGAGCUUGCUCCUCUGACGUUAGCGGCGGACGGGUGAGUAACACGUGGAUAACCUACCUAUAAGACUGGGAUAACUUCGGGAAACCGGAGCUAAUACCGGAUAAUAUAUUGAACCGCAUGGUUCAAUAGUGAAAAACGGUUUUGCUGUCACUUAUAGAUGGAUCCGCGCCGCAUUAGCUAGUUGGUAAGGUAACGGCUUACCAAGGCAACGAUGCGUAGCCGACCUGAGAGGGUGAUCGGCCACACUGGAACUGAGACACGGUCCAGACUCCUACGGGAGGCAGCAGUAGGGAAUCUUCCGCAAUGGGCGAAAGCUUGACGGAGCAACGCCGCGUGAGUGAUGAAGGUCUUCGGAUCGUAAAACUCUGUUAUUAGGGAAGAACAAAUGUGUAAGUAACUAUGCACGUCUUGACGGUACCUAAUCAGAAAGCCACGGCUAACUACGUG
RNAcentral lists this ribosomal RNA (497 nucleotides) under uncultured bacterium. Its description in RNAcentral is "partial 16S ribosomal RNA". It matches the Rfam family "Bacterial small subunit ribosomal RNA", at positions 28 to 507 of the family's 1533-position model. The record is from RNAcentral.